AGAGUUUGAUCCUGGCUCAGGAUGAACGCUGGCGGCGUGCCUAAUACAUGCAAGUCGAGCGAACAGACGAGGAGCUUGCUCCUUUGACGUUAGCGGCGGACGGGUGAGUAACACGUGGGUAACCUACCUAUAAGACUGGGAUAACUUCGGGAAACCGGAGCUAAUACCGGAUAAUAUUUCGAACUGCAUGGUUCGAUAGUGAAAGAUGGCUUUGCUAUCACUUAUAGAUGGACCUGCGCCGUAUUAGCUAGUUGGUAAGGUAACGGCUUACCAAGGGCAACGAUACGUAGCCGACCUGAGAGGGUGAUCGGCCACACUGGAACUGAGACACGGUCCAGACUCCUACGGGAGGCAGCAGUAGGGAAUCUUCCGCAAUGGGCGAAAGCCUGACGGAGCAACGCCGCGUGAGUGAUGAAGGUCUUCGGAUCGUAAAACUCUGUUAUUAGGGAAGAACAAACGUGUAAGUAACUGUGCACGUCUUGACGGUACCUAAUCAGAAAGCCACGGCUAACUACGUG
This 518-nucleotide ribosomal RNA is filed under the name uncultured bacterium. RNAcentral describes it as "bacterial SSU rRNA". It matches the Rfam family "Bacterial small subunit ribosomal RNA", at positions 8 to 507 of the family's 1533-position model. The record is from RNAcentral.